This 837-nucleotide ribosomal RNA is filed under the name Colletotrichum gloeosporioides. RNAcentral's name for it is "eukaryotic LSU rRNA". It matches the Rfam family "Eukaryotic large subunit ribosomal RNA", at positions 79 to 947 of the family's 3401-position model. The record is from RNAcentral. Lineage: Eukaryota; Fungi; Ascomycota; Sordariomycetes; Glomerellales; Glomerellaceae.
CUCAGUAACGGCGAGUGAAGCGGCAACAGCUCAAAUUUGAAAUCUGGCCCCAGGCCCGAGUUGUAAUUUGCAGAGGAUGCUUUUGGUGCGGUGCCUUCCAAGUUCCCUAGAACGGGACGCCAGAGAGGGUGAGAGCCCCGUACAGUUGGACACCAAGCCUUUGUAAAGCUCCUUCGACGAGUCGAGUAGUUUGGGAAUGCUGCUCAAAAUGGGAGGUAUAUUUCUUCUAAAGCUAAAUACCGGCCAGAGACCGAUAGCGCACAAGUAGAGUGAUCGAAAGAUGAAAAGCACUUUGAAAAGAGGGUUAAACAGCACGUGAAAUUGUUAAAAGGGAAGCGCUUGUGACCAGACUUGCGUCCGGUGAAUCACCCAGCUCUCGCGGCUGGGGCACUUCGCCGGCUCAGGCCAGCAUCAGCUCGCUGUCGGGGACAAAAGCUUCAGGAACGUAGCUCUCUUCGGGGAGUGUUAUAGCCUGUUGCACAAUACCCUUCGGCGGGCUGAGGUACGCGCUCCGCAAGGAUGCUGGCAUAAUGGUCAUCAGCGACCCGUCUUGAAACACGGACCAAGGAGUCAACCUUAUGUGCGAGUGUUCGGGUGUCAAACCCCUACGCGUAAUGAAAGUGAACGCAGGUGAGAGCUUCGGCGCAUCAUCGACCGAUCCUGAUGUUCUCGGAUGGAUUUGAGUAAGAGCAUAUAGGGUUGGACCCGAAAGAAGGUGAACUAUGCGUGUAUAGGGUGAAGCCAGAGGAAACUCUGGUGGAGGCUCGCAGCGGUUCUGACGUGCAAAUCGAUCGUCAAAUAUGCGCAUGGGGGCGAAAGACUAAUCGAACCUUCUAG